AUUGAACGCUGGCGGCAGGCCUAACACAUGCAAGUCGAGCGAGUGGCGGACGGGUGAGUAAUGUCUGGGGAUCUGCCCGAUAGAGGGGGAUAACUACUGGAAACGGUGGCUAAUACCGCAUACUAUCGGAUGUGCCCAGAUGGGAUUAGCUAGUAGGUGGGGUAAAGGCUCACCUAGGCGACGAUCCCUAGCUGGUCUGAGAGGAUGAUCAGCCACACUGGAACUGAGACACGGCCCAGACUCCUACGGGAGGCAGCAGUGGGGAAUAUUGCACAAUGGGCGCAAGCCUGAUACAGCCAUGCCGCGUGUAUGAAGAAGGCCUUAGGGUUGUAAAGUACUUUCAGCGGGGAGGCGUUACCCGCAGAAGAAGCACCGGCUAACUCCGUGCCAGCAGCCGCGGUAAUUC
RNAcentral lists this ribosomal RNA (406 nucleotides) under uncultured bacterium. RNAcentral describes it as "partial 16S ribosomal RNA". It matches the Rfam family "Bacterial small subunit ribosomal RNA", at positions 30 to 526 of the family's 1533-position model. The record is from RNAcentral.